GUGCUAAAACUUCAGAAAUAUUUUUAAAGGCGAUCAUUGGUGGUAAAGUAAGGCUCCAGAGAACCCAGAGAUGAUAUUGGAGAACUUCUCUUUGGAUCCUGCAUGGAACUAUAGCG
This 116-nucleotide small nucleolar RNA is filed under the name Echinops telfairi (small Madagascar hedgehog). RNAcentral's name for it is "Small nucleolar RNA SNORA26 (ENSETEG00000026375.1)". It matches the Rfam family "Small nucleolar RNA SNORA26". Rfam says of the family: The snoRNA HBI-6 belong to the H/ACA family of snoRNAs, guiding the pseudouridylation of position U4522 if the 28S rRNA. HBI-6 is the human orthologue of mouse MBI-6 snoRNA. Lineage: Eukaryota; Metazoa; Chordata; Mammalia; Afrosoricida; Tenrecidae. The record is from RNAcentral.